AGAGAUUUGGGCCCAAAUCUGGUUUUUCUGUCCGCCUGGGCCAAUUCUUGGGCCCAUUUCGUUUUGGGCCUUAGACCCAUUUGAGUCACCUGCACCUGUCCUAAACUAACAAUAUAAUAGCAAAUAAGUGGGCUUAGGUCCGAUUCCACCUGUCCUAAAUUCUAACAAUAAUAUCAAUAAAUAAAAUGACGAGGGCUUAGGCCCAAAAUAACAAAAUACAUCUUUUGGGAAUUAAGAGUGGGCCUUUGGCCCAAUUUUUUUACUUUCUCGAUCUGUCGCAUAUUCUUUCAACUCCGGGACCUGUUCGUCAAUUUUUAGGGCUGGCCGACUCGGAAAAAAAUAGAAUUUGAGCCUUUAUGGCUCUCCCGAAAUGCAAGAAAGAAGGUAGGAGUUCGUAGCGAACUCGAGCGAAUUUCACAUGCAAAGAAAGGAAAUAAAAUUAGAGCGAAAAUAAUUGGCAACACCUAACAAUUGGUAGCAAUUGAUCUUUAAAGUACGACAAAGAAAAAGAUAAAGCUUAAGGCAAAAUUAUAUACAUGAAUGACAUAAACUAAAAAAAAAUAGAAAUUUUUUUUAUAAAUAAAUAUAAUAGACAUCUAACAUGAUUCCAAAUAACUAAGGCAAAACAAAUAAGUUAGGCAUGUGGACAAACUACUAUUACAAACAAACGGACUAAUACAACAACUUAUGCAAGCGAUGAAAUCAAAAUGACGCCACAUCGUGACAUAAAAUAAGCAACCAUAAAUGAUCAGAUUAGCAACAGAUUUGAGAAAAUAAAUCUACUCACCCCAAAUGUAUACAUUUAUUCAAUAGUCAGUUAAGCAUAGAGCAUCCAUGAAUAUUAUAUGCUAAAGAACGAAAGAAAG
Molecule: long non-coding RNA, 866 nt
Filed under: Solanum tuberosum (potato)
Lineage: Eukaryota; Viridiplantae; Streptophyta; Magnoliopsida; Solanales; Solanaceae
Description: long non-coding RNA (STUB_LNC008977)
Source: RNAcentral